UAGGUGGCCGUUACUCCCCAGAAUAAGCACCCGUUAAUUUCUGUCCCAGCAGCCGCGGUAAUACAGAGGGUGCAAGCGUUAAUCGGAUUUACUGGGCGUAAAGCGCGCGUAGGCGGCUUAUUAAGUCGGAUGUGAAAUCCCCGGAGCUUAACUUGGGAAUUGCAUUCGAUACUGGUGAGCUAGAGUAUGGGAGAGGAUGGUAGAAUUCCAGGUGUAGCGGUGAAAUGCGUAGAGAUCUGGAGGAAUACCGAUGGCGAAGGCAGCCAUCUGGCCUAAUACUGACGUUGAGGUGCGAAAGCAUGGGGAGCAAACAGGAUUAGAUACCCUGGUAGUCCAUGCCGUAAACGAUGUCUACUAGCCGUUGGGGCCCUUGAGGCUUUAGUGGCGCAGCUAACGCGAUAAGUAGACCGCCUGGGGAGUACGGUCGCAAGAUUAAAACUCAAUUGAAUUGACGGGGGCCCGCACAAGCGGUGGAGCAUGUGGUUUAUUUCGAUGCAACGCGAAGAACCUUACCUGCCCUUGACAUCCAGAGAACUUUCCAGAGAUGGAUUGGUGCCUUCGGGAAUUUUGAUACAGGUGCUGCAUGGCUGUCGUCAGCUCGUGUCGUGAGAUGUUGGGUUAAGUCCCGCAACGAGCGCAACCCUUUUCCUUAUUUGCCAGCAGUUCGGGUGGGAACUUUAAGGAGACUGCCAGUGACAAACUGGAGGAAGGCGGGGACGACGUCAAGUCAUCAUGGCCCUUACGGCCAGGGCUACACACGUGCUACAAUGGUCGGUACAAAGGGUUGCUACCCCGCGAGCGGAUGCUAAUCUCAAAAAGCCGAUCGUAGUCCGGAUCGCAGUCUGCAACUCGACUGCGUGAAGUCGGAAUCGCUAGUAAUCGCGGAUCAGAAUGCCGCGGUGAAUACGUUCCCGGGCCUUGUACACACCGCCCGUCACACCAUGGGAGUUUGUUGCACCAGAAGUAGGUAGUCUAACCUUAGGGAGGACGCUUACCACGGUGUGGCCC
Molecule: ribosomal RNA, 1008 nt
Filed under: Acinetobacter baumannii
Lineage: Bacteria; Pseudomonadati; Pseudomonadota; Gammaproteobacteria; Moraxellales; Moraxellaceae
Description: bacterial SSU rRNA
Rfam family: Bacterial small subunit ribosomal RNA
Source: RNAcentral